Molecule: ribosomal RNA, 491 nt
Filed under: uncultured bacterium
Lineage: Bacteria
Description: partial 16S ribosomal RNA
Rfam family: Bacterial small subunit ribosomal RNA
Source: RNAcentral
GAUGAACGCUGGCUACAGGCUUAACACAUGCAAGUCGAGGGGAAACGACGGGGAAGCUUGCUUCCCCGGGCGUCGACCGGCGCACGGGUGAGUAACGCGUAUCCAACCUGCUUCUGACUGAGGGAUAACCCGUCGAAAGUCGGCCUAAUACCUCAUGGCAUCGUCUGCGGGCAUCCAACGACGAUUAAAGAUUUCAUCGGUCAGAGAUGGGGAUGCGUCUGAUUAGCUUGUUGGCGGGGUAACGGCCCACCAAGGCGACGAUCAGUAGGGGUUCUGAGAGGAAGGUCCCCCACAUUGGAACUGAGACACGGUCCAAACUCCUACGGGAGGCAGCAGUGAGGAAUAUUGGUCAAUGGGCGAGAGCCUGAACCAGCCAAGUAGCGUGCAGGAGGACGGCCCUAUGGGUUGUAAACUGCUUUUAUGCGGGGAUAAAGUGAGGGACGUGUCCUUCAUUGCAGGUACCGCAUGAAUAAGGACCGGCUAAUUCCGUG